GAUGAACGCUGGCGGCGUGCCUCAAACAUGCAAGUCGAGCGAGGCUAUGAAUUACCGCAAGGUAAGGCAUAGCCUAGCGGCGAACGGGUGAGUAACACGUGGGUAACCUACCUGGAAGACAGGGAUAACGAUUCGAAAGGGUCGCUAAUACCUGAUAAUAUCCAUCUGCCGGAUGGCGGAGGGAAGAAAGGGGAAACCCGCUUUCAGAUGGGCCCGCGUCCCAUCAGCUAGUUGGUAAGGUAAAGGCUUACCAAGGCGACGACGGGUAGCCGGUCUGAGAGGAUGUACGGCCACACUGGGACUGAGAUACGGCCCAGACUCCUACGGGAGGCAGCAGUUGGGAAUCUUAGGCAAUGGACGAAAGUCUGACCUAGCGACGCCGCGUGAGGGAAGAAGGCCUUCGGGUUGUAAACCUCUGUCAUGGGGAAGAAGGAAGUGACGGUACCCAAGAGGAAGCCCCUGCUAACUACGUG
Molecule: ribosomal RNA, 473 nt
Filed under: uncultured bacterium
Lineage: Bacteria
Description: bacterial SSU rRNA
Rfam family: Bacterial small subunit ribosomal RNA
Source: RNAcentral